CCUACGGGAGGCAGCAGUGAGGAAUAUUGGACAAUGGCCGGAAGGCUGAUCCAGCCAUGCCGCGUGCGGGAAGACGGCCCUAUGGGUUGUAAACCGCUUUUGUUGGGGAGCAAUAAGGGUCACGUGUGAUCCGAUGAGAGUACCCAGCGAAUAAGCAUCGGCUAACUCCGUGCCAGCAGCCGCGGUAAU
Molecule: ribosomal RNA, 189 nt
Filed under: uncultured rumen bacterium
Lineage: Bacteria
Description: partial 16S ribosomal RNA
Rfam family: Bacterial small subunit ribosomal RNA
Source: RNAcentral